Molecule: long non-coding RNA, 671 nt
Organism: Anthonomus grandis grandis
Lineage: Eukaryota; Metazoa; Arthropoda; Insecta; Coleoptera; Curculionidae
Exons: 3
Source: RefSeq, a predicted model, not a curated record
AAAAUGAAUAGCAGUAAUGACGGAUCUGAUAUUUGUGAUGAUUAUGAUUCUGACAAAGAUGCAGAAUAUAAACCACCUCAAAAGAAGUCUAAAAAACACAUAAGCAUUACAAUAGGGGGCAAGAAAAUUGAUAUUCCUUGUCAACCGGAGACUUCGGACUCUGAGCCUGAGUUUAAUGAGGGUUUAAACAAUAAAAGCAUUGGCAAGAAAGAGAAAAUUUCCAGUGCAGUAGAUCGGCAGUUAUUUCCAACCCAACUUAACCCUGAGGCACAUUUUACGGACUAUUCCCAGGACCGCUCCCUAGAACAUUCCAUAGACCACCCUGACGAAGUUUCCAUAGAACUUCCCAUACAAAGCUCCUUAGAAACCCCGAGGGAGUAUCUAUAGUGGCUGAUCCCCUAAAUCGGCCCAACAAUUACGUAGUCGAAAGCCCCGUACAACACCUUGUUGAAAAUGAAGAUAUAGAGCCCGAUAUACUGGUGCAAAAAACUAAAAAAAAGCUCUCACGUAAAAGAACUAGGAACUUGAAAUCCUGGGCACAAAAUAUUCGAAAAGAAAAAUAUGAUAGGGGACUGGAAUACGUGUCAUCAAGAAAAAAGCUUCGUCCUGCUAGAAAAAUUGUAACAAAAAAAGAUUGUUUGAAUAGAUGUUACUUUAAGUGUGCUACACAG